UGUUAAAAGAUUUAUCAAAUUCUACUGUUAAAAACUGGCAUGACUGACGGAAUAACUAGAUAAUUACAUGUGGCAUGCUAGCGUACAUAGGUCAGUUUUUAGCCGUAGAAAUAGAUGAAUUUUUAAUA
Molecule: non-coding RNA, 128 nt
Organism: Gossypium hirsutum (cotton)
Lineage: Eukaryota; Viridiplantae; Streptophyta; Magnoliopsida; Malvales; Malvaceae
Source: Rfam